This 253-nucleotide ribosomal RNA is filed under the name uncultured bacterium. RNAcentral describes it as "partial 16S ribosomal RNA". It matches the Rfam family "Bacterial small subunit ribosomal RNA", at positions 524 to 776 of the family's 1533-position model. The record is from RNAcentral.
CACGUAGGGCGCAAGCGUUGUUCGGAAUUACUGGGCGUAAAGGGCUCGUAGGUGGCCAACUAAGUCAGACGUGAAAUCCCUCGGCUUAACCGGGGAACUGCGUCUGAUACUGGAUGGCUUGAGUUUGGGAGAGGGAUGCGGAAUUCCAGGUGUAGCGGUGAAAUGCGUAGAUAUCUGGAGGAACACCGGUGGCGAAGGCGGCAUCCUGGACCAACACUGACACUGAGGAGCGAAAGCCAGGGGAGCAAACGGG